UAAGGAAUAUCGGUCAAUGGACGCAAGUCUGAACCAGCCAUGCCGCGUGAAGGAUGAAGGUCCUCUGGAUUGUAAACUUCUUUUAUCUGGGACGAAAACGGGAUUUUUAUCUCAAUUGACGGUACCAGAGGAAUAAGCACCGGCUAACUCCGUGCCAGCAGCCGCGGUAAUACGGAGGGUGCGAGCGUUAUCCGGAUUUACUGGGUUUAAAGGGUGCGUAGGUGGGCUUAUAAGUCAGUGGUGAAAUCUCCGAGCUUAACUUGGAAACUGCCAUUGAUACUAUAGGUCUUGAAUUAUCUGGAGGUAAGCGGAAUAUGUCAUGUAGCGGCGAAAUGCUUAGAUAUGACAUAGAACACCAAUUGCGAAGGCAGCUUACUACAUAUAAAUUGACGCUGAGGCACGAAAGCGUGGGGAUCAAACA
This 421-nucleotide ribosomal RNA is filed under the name uncultured bacterium. Its description in RNAcentral is "bacterial SSU rRNA". It matches the Rfam family "Bacterial small subunit ribosomal RNA", at positions 355 to 774 of the family's 1533-position model. The record is from RNAcentral.